UCCCUAGUGUCCAGUGGUUAGGAACUUGGAGCUUCCACUGCUGGGGGCCCAAGUUCAAUUCUUGGCUGGGGAA
This 73-nucleotide transfer RNA is filed under the name Ovis aries (sheep). It matches the Rfam family "tRNA". Rfam says of the family: Transfer RNA (tRNA) molecules are approximately 80 nucleotides in length. Their secondary structure includes four short double-helical elements and three loops (D, anti-codon, and T loops). Lineage: Eukaryota; Metazoa; Chordata; Mammalia; Artiodactyla; Bovidae. The record is from Rfam by way of RNAcentral.